GACGAACGCUGGCGGCGUGCUUAACACAUGCAAGUCGAACGGAAAGGCCCUGCUUUUGUGGGGUGCUCGAGUGGCGAACGGGUGAGUAACACGUGAGUAACCUGCCCUUGACUUUGGGAUAACUUCAGGAAACUGGGGCUAAUACCGGCUAGGAGCUCCUGCUGCUUGGUGGGGGUUGGAACGUUUCGGCGGUUGGGGAUGGACUCGCGGCUUAUCAGCUUGUUGGUGGGGUAGUGGCUUACCAAGGCUUUGACGGGUAGCCGGCCUGGGAGGGUGACCGGCCACAUUGGGACUGAGAUACGGACCAGACUCCUACGGGAGGCAGCAGUGGGGAGUAUUGCACAAUGGGCCGACGCCUGAUGCAGCAACGCCGCGUGCGGGAUGACGGCCUUCGGGUUGUAAACCGCUUUCGCCUGUGACGAAGCGUGAGUGACGGUAAUGGGUAAAGAAGCACCGGCUAACUACGUG
RNAcentral lists this ribosomal RNA (468 nucleotides) under uncultured bacterium. RNAcentral describes it as "partial 16S ribosomal RNA". It matches the Rfam family "Bacterial small subunit ribosomal RNA", at positions 28 to 507 of the family's 1533-position model. The record is from RNAcentral.